GGUUUUGUUUUUGUCCUCCUAUCCUGCCUCUCCUAUUCUGGGGCCUCCACUGGGGUGGAAGAACGGCAGAGACACUUGGCCACUUCCUGUCUCGCAUGUCUGUCUUCUCGCUGGCGUUUCAGAAGCUCACGUCGUACCCUCUUACGUUUCCCAGACAGCAAGGCCCACUCAUUUCCAAGACCCACUGAAAACAUUCCUAGUUUUCAGUUAUAUACGAAGUAUCACUUCAUUCUACAGAGAGGAGACUGAGGCCGAGAGAAGGUUGACUCUGGCCUGGGAACUAGCCGAGUUGGUUCCCAAACCUAUGCCUUUAGCCUCCCCAUCCUUGCUUCUGAUGACGCUUGAAGAGGGAGUGUGAGGUGACAGGAAACGGGAAACACGGACUGGUUUUGAGGUGUUCCUGUCAGGAAGUCUGAAUGCCCCGUUGACCCACCAAGCUGGACUCUGGGUAAGACUUCUUUCUUUCUUUCUUCCCUUUCUUUCUGGUGUGUGUGUGUGUGCGUGUGCGUGUGCGUGUGCGCGUGCGCGCGCGCGUGUGUGUGUGUGUGUGUGGUGUCUGUGUGUCUCUUUUGUUUUUUUCAAGAUAGGGUUUCUCUGUGUAGCCCUGGCUGUUCUGAACUUACUCUAUAGACUAAAUUGGCCUUGAACUCACAGAGAUCCACCUGCCUCUGCCUCCUGAGUGCAGAGAUUAAAGUCCUACACCACCUCG
Molecule: long non-coding RNA, 709 nt
Filed under: Rattus norvegicus (Norway rat)
Lineage: Eukaryota; Metazoa; Chordata; Mammalia; Rodentia; Muridae
Description: long non-coding RNA NONRATT022735
Source: RNAcentral